Long non-coding RNA from Saccostrea echinata, 241 nucleotides. RefSeq lists it as uncharacterized. Lineage: Eukaryota; Metazoa; Mollusca; Bivalvia; Ostreida; Ostreidae. The transcript has 2 exons. The record is from RefSeq and is a predicted model, not a curated record.
ACAUCCUGUUUGCGUGACAUUUUCUGGUCUCUACUUUCAUUUUUGGUGAAACCUGUGCACGUGUUGGAUCAGUUCCAAGAAAAAGAUGACAGGAGACGCGAGUAGUAGGUCAUAGAAUGGCCACGGAUCUUUAACUCGGAAAAGAUCAAAACUGAUCUCUUGACAGAAGAUAAAAUGACGUUAUUGUAGAAAGGGGCAUAUACAAUACAAAGUAUAUUAUUUAAAUAAAACUGAAAAUUUG